AUUGAACGCUGGCGGAAUGCUUUACACAUGCAAGUCGAACGGCAGCACGGACUUCGGUCUGGUGGCGAGUGGCGAACGGGUGAGUAAUACAUCGGAACGUGCCCAGUCGUGGGGGAUAACGUAGCGAAAGCUACGCUAAUACCGCAUACGAUCUAAGGAUGAAAGCGGGGGAUCGCAAGACCUCGCGCGAUUGGAGCGGCCGAUGGCAGAUUAGGUAGUUGGUGGGGUAAAGGCUCACCAAGCCGACGAUCUGUAGCUGGUCUGAGAGGACGACCAGCCACACUGGGACUGAGACACGGCCCAGACUCCUACGGGAGGCAGCAGUGGGGAAUUUUGGACAAUGGGCGCAAGCCUGAUCCAGCCAUUCCGCGUGCAGGAUGAAGGCCCUCGGGUUGUAAACUGCUUUUGUACGGAACGAAAAGGCUCUGGUUAAUACCCGGGGCUCAUGACGGGACCGUAAGAAUAAGCACCGGCUAACUACGUGCCAGCAGCCGCGGUAA
This 500-nucleotide ribosomal RNA is filed under the name uncultured bacterium. RNAcentral describes it as "partial 16S ribosomal RNA". It matches the Rfam family "Bacterial small subunit ribosomal RNA", at positions 30 to 523 of the family's 1533-position model. The record is from RNAcentral.